AUUGAACGCUGGCGGCAGGCCUAACACAUGCAAGUCGAGCGGAUGAAGGGAGCUUGCGCCGGGAUUCAGAGGGGGACGGGGGAGGAAUGCCGAGGAAACUGCGUGGUAGUGGGGGAGAACGUCCGGAAAAGGGGGGUAAUACCGCAGACGUGCUGAGGGGGAGAGUGGGGGAGCUUGGGAACUCACGCUAGCAGAGGAGGCUAGGGCGGAUUAGCUAGUUGGUGGGGGAAAGGCCGACCAAGGAGACGAUCCGGAACUGGUCUGAGAGGAUGAUCAGUCACCCUGGAACUGAGCCACCGUCCAUGCUCCUACGGGAGGCAGCAGUCUGGAAUAUUGGACAAUGGGCGAAAGCCUGAUCCAGUCAUGCCGCGUGUGUGAAGAAGGUCUUCGGAUUGUAAAGCCCUUUAAGUUGGGAGGAAGGGCAGUAAGUUAAUACCUUGCUGUUUUGACGUUACCAACAGAAUAAGCACCGGCUAACUUCGUG
Molecule: ribosomal RNA, 484 nt
Filed under: uncultured bacterium
Lineage: Bacteria
Description: partial 16S ribosomal RNA
Rfam family: Bacterial small subunit ribosomal RNA
Source: RNAcentral